CGGAGUACUUCUAGCUUUUUCUAUCUGUUGGUACUUUGCGUGGCACAUGAUCAUCACAAAAAAGAAAACAAUCAUUAAGAGUGAUGCUGAAUAUUGACAUGACAAUAUAGUUAUCUGAUAUGAGGCAAGACACAGCUUCUAGAAAUAUUUAGCCCUACAUAAGCUAUAUAACAUUGUUAGCCCAGAUUCAACGUUGGACACAGUCAUAAGUCAUAGAUUAAUUCAUAAAUGAUUUUUUUUAUGACAUAGAUCACUUUACUGACACUACACACACUUAUCCUUGAUCAAACCAACUAUUUUAUUUGUACCAUUCAUUGACCCCAUGCUGACAUGGACAUGAUCUGCCAAUAGCACACCAUAAAAUUUUUUAAAUUAAGAUAUACAAACUUGUUCCUAUGAACAGUAUAUACAUAUAUAUUCCUUCUUGUUCAAACAAAAAAAAAAAAAAAAUACCAGAUACAACAUAUAAUUUAAGUGUAGAGUCAUUUAUUUGAAAAGUAUGUCUUCAAAUCUGUGCCUACAUGCAGUUGUUAACUUGUCAAUCUACCAGUCUAGUUUUUAUGUAUUUAACUUGCUGGAAAAGAUGUUUUGAAAAUUUUACUUAGCCAUGGUAUUUUGACCCUCUGCAGUAUAUUGAACCCCCUACUAUAGACCUCUCAUGUCACAAAUUCUAGCUAUUCUAACUCCUUACAUAGUAAUAAUAUUCCAAUAAGUUUAACAUGAUGGAAAAGAUGUUUUGAAAAUUUUACCUAUAGCCAUGGUAUUUUGACCCAGCUGCGGUAUAUUGAACCCCCUACUAAAAACCUCAGAUUAAAAAAAAUGAUAACCAACAAAUUGUUAAUUAGAUUAUCUGCAGUACUAUUUAUAAAAAACAGGGGGGUCAAAAUACCAUAUGCAAAAAAUGACCGCAUGGUAUUUUGACCUCGGGUUCACUUUUUUGGAGGUUCAAAAUACCAUAUGACACCUGGUAUGUCCUUGUAAAAAGUUUGGCCUCAAAUCGAAUGUCCUCUGAUUCUCUGAUUAAAUUACCCACUAAUAAUGUUUCCCCAAUCCUUUUGCUAGAAGGUUUAAUAAUGAGUACAUGGAGUAUCUAAUAAUCUUUCAAUGUACAUGAUGUCAGAAACCUAAUAGUAAGGAUUGUCAGGAGAUUAAAAGGAUGUUAUUAUAUAUACAUGUACAAGCAUGAUAUACACCUAAAACAGGACUUUAUUACCCUAUCAUGACUUCCUUUUUUCCUCAUGCUUGAUAUGAUGUAUCACUCAUCUAUAAUAGUUUCCUGCUUUGCCAUCAUUUUCCACAAUGACGUCUUAUACUUGAUGAUGCCUUGUUGAUUUUGACGUCUAUACUUUUUUGAAAAGGACAUAGAUUUGGGAUGAAUCUGACACAAUGUAAAAAUGAACAUAGAUUUGAGGACUUUAUACAUAGACAUUAAUGAACACUGCUCACAAUAAAUUAUCUGACCUGUCCAGUCUUAAAUAAACAAGAGAAAACAAAACAAAAUUCAAGGAUUUCUAUCUUAACAUAUGAAGUACCUGGUAUUUUCUUAUAAGUUUUUUAAACACAAUACAAUGCUACAGGUUUGUUAAAGUUUGCUUUUAUUUUAUUUUACAGAUUUAAGAACAAAUGAGGUGUGGAUGAUGAGAUUUAGACAAAGACUGGCUUGGUUAGUGAUAGUGUUUUUUCUAGCAGCAACAUGUGCUCUUGUGUACUAUAUUUUUGAGAUAAAUGAACAUUUCAAUAAAUUUGCCAUUGACCAUGUUGAAAAAUUCCAUACAAACUCAGGAACAGAAGAUACACAUGGAUUGUGGCAUCACAUAAUUGAUAUACCUGCUUUUGUCUUCUUCAUCAUAUUUAUCAUGGCAUAUCUACAAAUUUUCUUCAUGAUUCUGGCUUGUACCAGAACAGAACCAAAGCACAGUUUUGCAUACAUUUGGCCAAUUUUUCUUUCUACAAAGGUCAAGUCUUUAGUAUCAAAUUGUUCAUUAAGAAUUGAAGGAUCAAAGAAAUCUCAUGACUCUACAAAUGGUUAUAUUACUAUUGAUACAUGAAUUAUGUUAAUAAAUAA
This 2065-nucleotide long non-coding RNA is filed under the name Mytilus galloprovincialis (Mediterranean mussel). Lineage: Eukaryota; Metazoa; Mollusca; Bivalvia; Mytilida; Mytilidae. The record is from RNAcentral.